AACUCUUAGCGGUGGAUCACUCGGCUCGUGCGUCGAUGAAGAACGCAGCUAGCUGCGAGAACUAAUGUGAAUUGCAGGACACGUUGAUCAUCGACACUUCGAACGCACUUUGAUCAUAGUCACGCCUGUCUGAGGGUCA
RNAcentral lists this ribosomal RNA (139 nucleotides) under Carassius auratus (goldfish). RNAcentral's name for it is "5.8S ribosomal RNA (ENSCARG00000064240.1)". It matches the Rfam family "5.8S ribosomal RNA". From Rfam's summary of the family: 5.8S ribosomal RNA (5.8S rRNA) is a component of the large subunit of the eukaryotic ribosome. The record is from Rfam by way of RNAcentral. Lineage: Eukaryota; Metazoa; Chordata; Actinopteri; Cypriniformes; Cyprinidae.